UACGUAGGGGGCAAGCGUUGUCCGGAAUUAUUGGGCGUAAAGAGCGCGUAGGCGGUCCGAUAAGUCGGCUGUGAAAGUCAAAGGCUCAACCUUUGAAAGCCGAUGGAUACUGUGUGGCUAGAGUACGGAAGAGGCGAGUGGAAUUCCUGGUGUAGCGGUGGAAUGCGCAGAUAUCAGGAGGAACACCAAUAGCGAAGGCAGCUCGCUGGGACGUUACUGACACUGAGGCGCGAAAGCGUGGGGGGCAAACAGG
RNAcentral lists this ribosomal RNA (253 nucleotides) under uncultured bacterium. RNAcentral describes it as "partial 16S ribosomal RNA". It matches the Rfam family "Bacterial small subunit ribosomal RNA", at positions 524 to 776 of the family's 1533-position model. The record is from RNAcentral.